This 232-nucleotide ribosomal RNA is filed under the name Salmonella enterica subsp. enterica serovar Albany. RNAcentral's name for it is "partial 16S ribosomal RNA". It matches the Rfam family "Bacterial small subunit ribosomal RNA", at positions 1 to 229 of the family's 1533-position model. The record is from RNAcentral. Lineage: Bacteria; Pseudomonadati; Pseudomonadota; Gammaproteobacteria; Enterobacterales; Enterobacteriaceae.
AAAUUGAAGAGUUUGAUCAUGGCUCAGAUUGAACGCUGGCGGCAGGCCUAACACAUGCAAGUCGAACGGUAACAGGAAGCAGCUUGCUGCUUCGCUGACGAGUGGCGGACGGGUGAGUAAUGUCUGGGAAACUGCCUGAUGGAGGGGGAUAACUACUGGAAACGGUGGCUAAUACCGCAUAACGUCGCAAGACCAAAGAGGGGGACCUUCGGGCCUCUUACCAUCAGAUGUG